Molecule: long non-coding RNA, 3333 nt
Organism: Cygnus olor (mute swan)
Lineage: Eukaryota; Metazoa; Chordata; Aves; Anseriformes; Anatidae
Exons: 2
Source: RefSeq, a predicted model, not a curated record
AACACACUGGUAAAAAACAGUCCUUCAAAAAACUGAGACAAUGAGCAAGUAGUGCCAUGAAUAUUCAAAGCUGUAAUUGCUAUGGAAACCAUCUCCAGGAAUUCAACCUUUAAGUAUCAGAGGCACAUCAUGAUAUGAUGACAGCAAAAGAAAAUGUAAUACUGUCUAAGACUUCGAAGUUCAAAAUGCAAGAGAAAAUCAAAGCACUGUGUAGGAAAAGCCUUCGCCUUCUCCCAUCUUCCCGGUUCUUUGGGGAGGAUAUUGAGGUGGGUGAGCCCUGCAGUAUCCCUUUCUGCCUGGGCUUCCCAAACGGCCCCUACCAGUACUGCCAAAAAGGAUGCUCUUUCCUUAAUCAAAUCAUAACUGUAACCCGCCUUGACCAGCAGAACUGAAAAACCUGGUGUAACAAUAUUCAAGCCCUGCCGUUCAUUUUCAGGCUUCCAGCAGGCCAAUAACGGGGUCAGGUAGCAAGGGCAAGGCAUCAGAGAUCAUCAGUGAUGGCCCUGAUUUCAUUUCUUUUAUAUGAAAUAUUCUCAGCUUAUUCUAUUGUACUUGUACCACAUGAAGGUAUUAAUGAGUAGUCCACAAUAUUUUCUUCGUUUCAUCUCACUUCCUUCCAGUAGCCUGCCUGCUGACAAAACAGAGGUGAUCCCACAAUUGUUCCUGUCAGCCUCAACCCCUAUUUCUGAGUGUCACUGCAAUGCUUUUGAUAUUGAUUCGUUAAAUAAAACUAGUAAAUGCAAUACGCAUAUAAGUACUAUUCUGAAUGAUGGUGAAAAAAACGUGAUGGUGAAAAAAAAAAUUUCUGAUGAACUAGCAUUUGUUCUUUGUAGGUAUAUAAACUAUGUACCUAAAAUUUAUAUAAAAAAGAAUAUCACCCCAAGUAUUAUUGCAGAAGUCAGCUGCAUUUCAAACACUAACAGCUCACUUUUCUUUUUUCAGGUACAUCUUAUUACAGUCUUAUAAAGCAAAAGUCCACAAACACUUGGAUUUAUUGAAGGUUUACAGUAAUAUUUUGUUAACGUUGUUGUUGAUAAGCACUAACCUAUGCUCUUAGAGAAGGGAAUUUAUUAGCAAAUUCUGCACACCCAUAUUUGUGCAAUUAUGUUUUUUUUUUAAUGACAUACAUCCUUACUUAUUUUAGACCCAUAGCUCUAGUUUAGUUUCAUGGCAGUAUAAAUUAGUUUGCCUAUUGGAUAUCUUUUCAGGUUGGGAUUUAAGGUCACUCUAGGAAGGGCAAAGUUACAUCUUCAGUUAACUUGUAUCUGAUGCCAUGUCACAUUCACUUUUUCAGCACGCUAUUUAAUUUUUUUGCCUUUUCUACCUUUUUUUAGUUCGAGUGUCCUAAGCGCUAGCAACCAAAGCUCCCCACAGCAAACAACCCCUAGGAAAUGCCUGAUUUCCACACUGCUGUCAGUCACACGUCCUGCCAGAGGAGGCUGCCUCAGAUCUCUGCAGACUACUUUAACAAAGCCCUGUGUAACUCUAGUUCUGUCUCUUAUGUUAUGCUUAUGUUGCUGGUUUAAACUGCAGUUUAUAAAGAAUCAUUUAAUCCAUACCUCUUUAACGGUAUCUUUACUUAGGCGGAUUUACAUCUUUAGAAUUCUGUUCACUUUCCUGGCUGUAGCAUGGUUUGAGUCUCGCAUACCACAAAAUUUGUUAUUGUAUAAUUCCUCAUUAGCAUACAAAGAUUAUAGCUCUAAAGUAAUGUACUUGUUUUCUUAGCAAAAGAAUGAAAUGAUGGGGGCAGGUCUUAUACUUUCAACGAAGUAAGAAAAUGUUCAGAUGAGAUUUUUGAGUAUUGUAUUUGUAAAAUAUUUUAUCUGACUAACAUGAAGUUUAAAAGUGAUUCAAAGAACUCCUGGAGCUCAGGAGAGACAACUAACUAUUCAGGUCUAAACUAAGGAGCCAGCUUCAGUCUUAACUAUGAACUGAUUAUUGCUGCUUCAUAUUUAAAGGUUUUCUACAGGCUCUGAAGAAUGUAAGCCAACAGUUUCCUCUCUAUUUUAGAUUGAAUUCAAAAUGUCAUUAAAAAUAGAACAGAUCACACAUUCAUAAUACAAUCUUACUAAGAAAUCUGAGAGGUAUCAUAACUUGGUACAUAUUUAACUUUUUGGAUAGAGUUACUGAAAGCAAAGACUUAUUGAUCUGAAAUGCAAGUAAAGAUGUAGCUCCCGAUUUCGACUUUUGUAUUGCAUGAUGAAUCCCAGGAAAUUCAUUCAAGUUCAUAAAUGCUCAGGAGAUGUUCCAGGUACUUUUUACUAAUGAGAAGGUUCCUUUUCUUGAUGUGUUUCUUGGAAAUACAAUUCAUUCGAACUAGGAUAUAAAAGCCAACAAUCACUGAAAUAAAGGGAAGAGACAGUAAUACAGUCCCUGAACUUUUACCUUUGGAAAAUAACACUGACAGGAGAUAGCAUUGUUUCUCACUUUCAACUGCCCCAAAUGAAAACAUUGUAAGAAAACAGUGAUGUUGUACUAUUAAGGAUCUGUACCUCAUGUUUUGAAUUGGACACUUAGUUUUUCUUUCCUUAAGCUGUUAACCACCCUUCCUUACUUCACUGGCAUGGGUCAGCUAGGUAGACAGCCAUUCAAUUUAUUUACAAGUCCUGUUUUACGUGGCACAGUCGAAGCAGGGAUGAGUCUUUUUCUCUGUUCAGAAAUCUAAAUCUCUUUUCCUAGAAAGCAGUAAUCUAAAUUAAGGUGACCUAGUGCUUCUGCUGUGCUAAAGAAUUCUGGAAGGAGAUAUGCACCCUUGGAUAGUAAAUUCAGUUUUUCUCUCGCAGAUAGCAAUAGAACAGCCAAAAAUACCAGAGUUCAUUUGUUUUAAAAUGAAAGCUAUCCUAUUGUUUCAACCUAUACAACAACAUACUCUAAACUCCUAACUUCUAAUCCUAACACUGGUAUGUCUUGCACCUUGGGCAAGAGACCCAUAAAAGAACUGACAGCAUCACUGCCAGAGCUCUGCAGCUGGCUGUGCUCUGAAUACAAACAGCUCUGCAAUACAACCAUCACUGCCUCGUUAAAACACGUCUCACUUUAGACUCUGACAGCGUUAAGGGCCCCAAAUCAAACAGAAAUGUUUGCAAAAAGUCUAUAUGAGCAGCAGCUCAGCAGUGAAAUGAUAAGAAGACCUCUCUGCAAUAGUGAAAUUCACUCUAUUUGAUUUUGAGACAUCAGUGAAGGCUGUUGGUUCUAAUUUCUCUUCCUUUUUGGUGCUUGAUAUGGCUUUUAUAAAGGAGGUGAAAAAGUGUGCUCCAUUGUCUACUUAGACCAGUCUCUAAUUUAAAAAGACUUAAUACAAUUAAUACAGAGUUUAGUUCAUAGUUCCACGAG